UUUUUAUUAUAUGAAGUAGUUUAUUCUGGUUAGUUCAUAAAAUUGUAUAAAGUAGCUAAAUUGUAUUACUGAUUAUCUGGGAAGUUUCAGGUCUUCAGAUUUUUAUUUCUAUGGUGAAACUUAUUCUAAUUUCCAACCCAAGAUUCUGGAACACAUCUCCCAUUAUGAAGUGGGCCUCAGGAUGGGAGCGGAAACAGAGCCUCUUGUUCACACUCCACACCCUCAUUUUCCAGCAGUGAGGGUAGACUAUUAAGGCUCUCAUGUCAUCAAGGAUCGAGGCAAUGGGUUAAUGGAGACUCUAGACAUUUGUUUCCUCACCAGUGAAAAUUAAAUGAAGACCCAGGAAUCACUACAGCUAUAGGGAUGAGAAGGACAUUUCAGCAGCUAGAGUGUGGUGAAAUGGCCCAAGGAGAAGAGUACAAAGCAACAUAAUGGCAGAGAUGAUGUUCAGAUCUCCAGAUAUUGUGUCCCUGUCUCAGAGUCGCCAACAG
Molecule: long non-coding RNA, 491 nt
Filed under: Homo sapiens (human)
Lineage: Eukaryota; Metazoa; Chordata; Mammalia; Primates; Hominidae
Description: HSALNT0057107
Source: RNAcentral